GUAGGUUGCAAGCGUUGUCCGGAUUUACUGGGUGUAAAGGGCGUGUAGGCGGAGAUGCAAGUUGGGAGUGAAAUCCAUGGGCUCAACCCAUGAACUGCUCUCAAAACUGUAUCCCUUGAGUAUCGGAGAGGCAAGCGGAAUUCCUAGUGUAGCGGUGAAAUGCGUAGAUAUUAGGAGGAACACCAGUGGCGAAGGCGGCUUGCUGGACGACAACUGACGCUGAGGCGCGAAAGCGUGGGGAGCAAACAGGAUUAGAUACCCUGGUAGUCCACGCUGCAAACGAUGAAUACUAGGUGUGGGAGGACUGAUCCCUUCCGUGCCGCAGCUAACACAAUAAGUAUUCCACCUGGGGAGUACGACCGCAAGGUUG
RNAcentral lists this ribosomal RNA (370 nucleotides) under uncultured bacterium. RNAcentral's name for it is "bacterial SSU rRNA". It matches the Rfam family "Bacterial small subunit ribosomal RNA", at positions 527 to 896 of the family's 1533-position model. The record is from RNAcentral.